CAGCACCUCAAGUGGUAAGGAUGAUUAUUGGGCCUAAAGCAUCCGUAGCCGGCUCUGUAAGUUUUCGGUUAAAUCUGUAUGCUCAACAUACAGGCUGCCGGGAAUACUGCAGAGCUAGGGAGUGGGAGAGGUAGACGGUACUCGGUAGGAAGGGGUAAAAUCCUUUGAUCUAUUGAUGACCACCUGUGGCGAAGGCGGUCUACCAGAACACGUCCGACGGUGAGGGAUGAAAGCUGGGGGAGCAAACCGGAUUAGAUACCCGAGUAGUCC
RNAcentral lists this ribosomal RNA (270 nucleotides) under uncultured archaeon. Its description in RNAcentral is "partial 16S ribosomal RNA". It matches the Rfam family "Archaeal small subunit ribosomal RNA", at positions 477 to 747 of the family's 1478-position model. The record is from RNAcentral.